RNAcentral lists this non-coding RNA (45 nucleotides) under Echinostoma caproni. The record is from RNAcentral. Lineage: Eukaryota; Metazoa; Platyhelminthes; Trematoda; Plagiorchiida; Echinostomatidae.
GCACUGCGGACGAGUCCUAAAUAGGACGAAACAACUGUCCAGUGC